Molecule: long non-coding RNA, 1025 nt
Filed under: Canis lupus familiaris (dog)
Lineage: Eukaryota; Metazoa; Chordata; Mammalia; Carnivora; Canidae
Description: lncRNA (ENSCAFG00000054040.1, ENSCAFG00845019119.1)
Source: RNAcentral
CAAGCUGAUUCCUUGAGGGGUUUACACAUCCUUUGAAGAAUUAACUGAAAGCUAGAAAUAAGUAGAGACACCCCAACUUGCAAUUCAACCUAAAUGUUUGUUCAACUGCAAAUUAAAGUUCAGAAACAAGUUUUCUGCUCAUGUUCAUUAAAUUAAAUGCUACCUUUGUUUCGGCACUCGUUUGGUUUUAGGAAUUCAGUGAUUUGUCAAAAAUAAAACCCAGUUAGUUCCAAUUAGUAUGCAGCCUAAUGCACAUUUCAGUAAUUCUAUUAUUUGUGUUCAUGUACGUACAGUAAUAUCCAAUCUUCACAGCUGUAUGAAUAGAAAGUAUUGAGAGAUAAGUCCAGUUCCCCAUCACAAUUCUCAUCUUUCAGAGACAUUUCUAUAAAAAACUAUUUUGAGAAAGCAGCUUUAUUUAUACACACAUUAUAUAUCUGCCGCUAUACCCACACUUCGCUUACGCGUGCGUCAUUAGAAUAUUUGCAUGAGCGUUCAUAUUCCUAGUCCAACAUAUGUAAACAAAUCACACAGCAAUUUGAAAAUUUAGCAACUAAAUAGGCAAUCUGUUAAGCAUAAUCAGGCAUGCUAUUCAGCAACUGUAUAAUAUAAUUCAAUCUUCCUAAGAAAAUAUAUGUUUUGCAUGAGAGUGCCUUUACAAAAGUUGAUGAAACUUUCUAGGAAUUUGUACUGAAAUUUUCACAUAUUCAGAAAAUAACAAAGCCAUCUGACUCAUGCUUAAAUAAAAGGCAAAUCUCAUCACUGUAACCUGAUAAGAACCUAAUUGUCUUAUUGUCUAUCAUUUAUAAAUACAAUACAGUAGUUGGAGAUAUUUCCAAAGACAAUGCAAUCUUCUAGUCAAGAUCCUACUCACAUAUUAAAAUAAAUGAAAGAAAAGUGUCAGAAAAUUAACCAUGAUCCACAGUGUUUUGAUAAGCUAAUAUAUAUGCUAAAAUUUACUACUCAAUUCAUAAAUACGAUCAUCAUAAAUCAUUCCUUCUACUCUUUUUAGAGUGAUUUGAUUUUUU